RNAcentral lists this ribosomal RNA (271 nucleotides) under uncultured Eubacteriales bacterium. Its description in RNAcentral is "uncultured Clostridiales bacterium partial 16S ribosomal RNA". It matches the Rfam family "Bacterial small subunit ribosomal RNA", at positions 70 to 339 of the family's 1533-position model. Lineage: Bacteria; Bacillati; Bacillota; Clostridia; Eubacteriales. The record is from RNAcentral.
AUUGAAUUUUAUAACAAUGGCUUUAGUGGCGGACUGGUGAGUAACGCGUAAGGAACCUACAUAUUAGAGGGGAACAACAAUGAGAAAUCAUUGCUAAUACCGCAUAUGCCAUAACUACCGCAUGGUAGAAGUGGGAAAGGAGCAAUCCGCUGAUAGAUGGCCUUGCGUCUGAUUAGUUAGUUGGUGGGGUAACGGCUCACCAAGUCGACGAUCGGUAGCCGGACUGAGAGGUUGAACGGCCACAUUGGGACUGAGACACGGCCCAGACUCC